Molecule: long non-coding RNA, 4391 nt
Organism: Medicago truncatula (barrel medic)
Lineage: Eukaryota; Viridiplantae; Streptophyta; Magnoliopsida; Fabales; Fabaceae
Exons: 10
Source: RefSeq, a predicted model, not a curated record
UAGUGAUAUGCACAUUUCUUUUCUGAUAUGAUUUAUUUCAAACAAAUUGGUUUCCAUCAGGCAAUGAUGUUGUUAUCAGCUUUUAUAGAUCAAACAAUAUAUUAAUGUAAGAACCUUAGUGGCAUUGGCUUGGUGUUUUUAGUAUCUGUUUCAAAAAAUAUCAUUUUUUGUGGUUUAUUUAUUCUACAGAUAUUGAUAAUGCAGCCAUGUUUGAGAAAAAAAGUUGAAUCUGAGCCUUCCUUUCAAAUCCUAAAGUUAGGGUUUUUAAACUCAUUAAUCGUUAGUUUAAGUAUGAGGCUCUACAUUCACAGAUAUAAGGUUGUUUUGAGAAAUGUUACCUUUGUGUUAAUGUGGUUGCCAAUGAUUCGUCUCCGGAGAAUUUUGUUAACAUCUCUCAACACACAUAUACUUCCUCUUUCCUUCAAUAUAUGAUAAUUGUUCUUCUCCCAACACAUUUUGCUCGCUUCCAGCUGAAUUUCCCAAAAUACCCAUGUUUGAGUUAACUCACGCUGGUUUUCUUUCUUUGAUAACAAGGGAAAUUCUUGUUUACUUCAUCUUUUUCUUCUUCUUAUUCUUCUUUUGAUAACAAGGCAGUGAUGAUGUUUUAUGCUAUUGUAUCAGACAUUGGGUGAAAAGUUGAUUCAUUGGCGAGGCGAUGUUGUGUCUGUGUCAAGUUACACUUUGCACAUAUGCUUGACGCAGCCUUUAAGAAAUUCUUCUCUCUUCUGUCUGACAAAAGCCAAGAAAAUUCUUAGGAUUUACAAGGCAUGACAACGCUGUUGGGCGCUCCAUCUUAUAUAUGAAUGGGCAUGAUGACAUUGUCUGGCUGCUAUUACGGUUGCAGCAAGGAAGAGAUCAUUGAAAUAACGAAGACUUUCAACUUAGCGAAACAAAUUACAUUGAAAUUGAAUUGAGUUAUAGAUUCCGAAGAAAGGCUCUAACCCGACAAUACCCAGUCAAGUAACCCAAAACCCAAGAAUGGUUGAUUACACUCCUGAUCUACCAUUUCCAUUUCCCCACUGUUCAUUAUGUGAAGAAGAAGCAGCUGUGGUGGAUGAUUCAACCUCAACAUGCAUGCAUAACUCUCGCUUUCAUACAAAAAAAAGAAAAUUCUUAGGAUUUACAAGGCAUGACAACGCUGCUGGACGCUCCAUCUUAUAUAUGAAUGGGCAUGAUGACAUUGUCUGGCUGCUAUUAGGGUUGCAGCAGGGAAGAGAUCAUUGAAAUAGCAAUGACUUUCUAAUUAGUUCGGAGUUGCUUGAGCAGGCACAGAUGCACGUUCAUGUAAUUGGGGGCACAAUAAUGGUUGAUUACACUCCAGAUCUACCAUUUCCCUAUUGUUGUUUUGCGAGAGGGAAACGUUGAAGAAGGAGAACAAUAAGCUGUGGUGGAUGAUUCAACUCCAACAUUCAUGCAUUACUUUCGCUUUCAUACAAAAAGGUACAUUUUCUUUGAUGUAAAUGCAUAUGGUUUGAAGGUUUUUGAUGUUUAAACUUAAAAUGGUUUCUGGAGAGGCAUGCCACACCUUUUCUAAUUACUUCUGAGGUAUUUUUAACGUGCUUUGUGUGUUUUAUAUAUAACGUGCUUUUUGUGUUUUAUAUAGGCUUAAAUGCACUUUUCACCCCCUAUGUUUCAAAAAGUUGUGAUUUUGGCCCCCUUAUAAAAAAAAUGGAUAUUUUGACCCUCUUUUGAUUAGCUGAUUUAUGUCAAUUUCUCAGUCUCUGAUGGUGUAAACUGGCAUGGGGAUAGAAGGAUGCUUAUAAGUGGAGUCCAAACUGGCAUGGUGUAACUUUUGGCCCCCCUAAAAAAUGAUCCACUUAUCAGUUUGGACUCCACUUAUCAUGCCAGUUUGGACACCAUAUGCCAGUUUGGACUCCACUUAUCAGCAUCCUUCUAUCCCCAUGCUAGUUUACACCAUCAGAGACUGAAAAAUUGGCAUAGUCUCUAUCAAAAUCAGCUAAUCAAAAGAGGGCCAAAAGUUAGGGGGUCAAAAUAUCCUUUUUUUUUAUAAGGGGGCCAAAUUCGCAACUUUUUGAAACAUAGGGGGUGAAAAAUGCAUUUAAGCCUUUUAUAUAAUAUGUUAUCUGCAUCAAGUUCUCUGUUUUAGCACUUGUUAAAUCUCUUAUUGACUUGCACAUUACUUCAUUGAUACAUUAGUACUGUAGUUAGUUGCUUGAUAGAGGCUACAAGGUGGCUAUGAUGUUGUUUUUAGCUUUUAGAUCAGACAACAGGUUGAAGAGCUAGUACUGGCAAGGUGUUCCAGAAUCUGUUUGAAAAUACCUUUGUGGUUAAUUCUACAGGUACUGAUAACGCAGCCAUGGUGAGACUUUUCUCUUCUGCCUUUUGUUUUAGAAAAAGGUGAAUCUGAGCCUUCCUUAGAAACUCUGCAUUUAGGAAUUUCUUCUCCUAAAUCAUGGAGUGGAAGCUAACGACUUGCAAUCUGUGGUCGAUCAGUAUCUUCAAAUCAGAGGAAUUUCUAAGUCCGCACGUGAUAUUGAAACACACUACGGGUUUAAUAAAGAUUUGAAUGAUGAUUCCUCAACAAAUGCAUGGUUAGAAAAAAUGAGGACUUUAUUUAUAAGAAAGGGUUCCGGGUUUUCUUCCCGGAAUGUGAUAACUGGAGAUGGGUAUAAGAAAAUAGGUGGCCAUGAGAAGUGUCACCCCUCCGAGUUGAUGUGCAUGCCAAUGAUCCUUCUCAGUGAAAUUUUCAAACAGCUACCCACACACACACAUACUUCCUCUUCUGUUCCGGAUAUAAACUUCUUCAUCCUCGUAGGUAGCAGGGCAGUGAUGAUAAUUUAAGCAAUGGAUUCAGACAAUGUGUGUAGAGUUGUUUCCUGGCUAGGUAACUCCGUGUCUGUGUGAAGUUACCCUUGCGGUCCUUUGCACAGAUUCUGUUGAUGCAGCCUUUGUGAACCUCUUCUCUUUUGUGUCUGACAAAAGGCGAAUCUGAGCCUCCUCUGUUCAACCAUUAAUUUUUUUUGGGAUCUUUUUCCCUCUCUUUCAUCUGUUUUGUUGAAUUUCGCUUGUUUCCAACAGUCAAAUUAAUGUUGGAUGCAUUGUACUCGACUAUAAUUUCAUUCAGGAAAUUUAUUUAGAUAUGCCUGUCCAUGGUGGAGAGAGAUUGACUCUUAGAAAGAACAGUCGUCUAAGUCCUGAGGAAACUAUAGUACUUCGAGUCUUGGACAUCAAAUGAUGAAUAGAUGUCUUCGAUGUUAAAAUGGUUUGAGGCGAAGCAUGCUACUCAUGUUCUAAUAAGUAAUAACUUCUUAGCUAUGCAGAUAUGCUUGCCAUGGUGGAAAGAGAAAGACUCUUGAGUAGAAAAGGGCACUUAAUUCCUGACGAAGCUUCAACACUGUUGGAUAUCAAUUUACUGCCGGGGGUUUAUACUAAGCAGAGAGAAGAACGGACGCCUCAGAAAGCCUUCCCAAAUCUACUUUGUGAAUUUUCGCCAUUGUUUUCCAAAACUGAAACUGGCUUAUCUGCAUUAAGUCAAUAGGUUUAGAAGAAGCCAUUGUCCGAUCCUCCCUCAGAACAUGAUCCUUUGAGCUAUUCGUAUGUAGUGGCUGUAUGGGUUUAAAAAAUUUCACACAACUCACCCAAGCCCAAUACUCAAAGAAGCCCAAAAUGCUUCAUUUCAAGCCUAACAUUCCCCACUCAAAGCAAAUGCCACAAAUCUAUUUCGCUUUAAUUACAAAGGAAAAUGUUGAAGAGGAAGUGGUAGAUGGUUGAGCUCGACCAUUACUGUAAAUUUUUAAGAUAUACAUAAACAGAAAACUGGAGGAUCCAGUACUCUCCUAUCUUUAACGUUGGGAAGAGAUCUUGAAUUAACAAAAAUGUCGAAGCAUCUGCCUUUCAUCUUAUUAAAACAAAUCGUACUAGACUUGCAGAACCUUGGUAUUUGCAACAAAUCAUUCUGCUCCACACAUGAUAGCAUGUAUAUCAAUCUUAAAGUCUAAGUAGAUAUGAUUCUCUAUGGUGGUGGGAAGAGAGAGAGAACUCUGAGAAGGAAAGGGCACUUGACUCCUGAGGAAACUACAACUACGAGCCUUGGCCAUCAAUUGAAAUAUUCAACUUUUCAUUUUGAUGUGGAAAUUUAAUAAAUCUAAGAAUUGAAGUUUUGGGUAAAAUCCUUCCCAAAUCUAGUUUGAGAUCAAACUUGCUUCAUGAUGGGGUUUAGAUGGCUACUUCAUGGCGGGAAUGUGCAGUAUUGAAGGAAAUUAACUCACUGAUGACCAGAGACUUUGUAUUUCAUUUUUCAUUAUUGAACCGUAGUUUUUAGUUUUUACGUUAUUCAGUUGCUCUUUAAACAUAUUAAGGUGAAUUCUGUAAUAUGAGAAGAGUAAAAUAAGAUUUUCUAUGCCAUAAAGUUUUCCAUAUUCAUACAAUUA